GCAGAAAUGAUUGCACUAUAGUUCCUUCAAAGAACAAUGGCAUUAUGAACUUUAUAGUAAAAUUGAAGUACAAAAAUAUUCCAUCAAUGCUGAUUUCAAUGGUAACACCCAAACCUAAAAAUGCACAAAUACGCGCCAGACAACCCUUGCUACAACGAGGGCGCAGUAGCACUUGCAGAGGCAAGGAUCCAAUGAACAACAACAACAAUUAUCAAGUGAAGAAGCAUCUCUCCAACAGAUAAGAUCUGCCAGCAAAUUAGGACCACGACCCAUGAAACUCUUGUUAGCUGGCACACAAUCACGAAAUCAUAGAAGCUCCGGGUUGUUGAUAAUCCAAAGAAAUAGAAAUCAAAGGCUUGGAUUAAUCCAAGGCGACAACAUAUCUCAUAACAAAAGAAACAGAGAAAGAGUUGAGAAAAGAA
Molecule: unclassified non-coding RNA, 422 nt
Filed under: Hevea brasiliensis (rubber tree)
Lineage: Eukaryota; Viridiplantae; Streptophyta; Magnoliopsida; Malpighiales; Euphorbiaceae
Source: RNAcentral